GCGGGAGUAGCUCAAUGGUUAGAGUCCUCGUUCAUGAUUAAGUUCAGACGGGGUGUUGCGGGUUCGAGUCCCGCUUCCCGCU
RNAcentral lists this transfer RNA (82 nucleotides) under marine sediment metagenome. Its description in RNAcentral is "tRNA-Met". It matches the Rfam family "tRNA". Rfam says of the family: Transfer RNA (tRNA) molecules are approximately 80 nucleotides in length. Their secondary structure includes four short double-helical elements and three loops (D, anti-codon, and T loops). The record is from RNAcentral.